Molecule: long non-coding RNA, 501 nt
Organism: Megalobrama amblycephala (Wuchang bream)
Lineage: Eukaryota; Metazoa; Chordata; Actinopteri; Cypriniformes; Xenocyprididae
Exons: 2
Source: RefSeq, a predicted model, not a curated record
CGAUUUAGCAAAAACCCUUUCAAAAAACCCAUAGACUUCACGGCGUUGGAACCGGAAGUCCUAAAAUGCUAACUCGCUUCCGGGUUUUGCCUACAAAAACGCGUCAUCCCUGGGGCACUCAGGGAUGACAGGACAGUUCAAUAGGGGGCGGAAUAUGCCACUUUCACUUCGUCGUACUCACCCAAAGCAGACGAAGGAGAAAGUGUGGUGAUGCAGCAGUAAAUGAGGCUAAUAAGCAGCACCUGGAAGAACACAUCAAUGUACAAGAUGAGGGACUUUGCCCUUGAAUGUUUUGUGAUAAAUUGUAUAUAUAAUUCAUAGUCCCAACAUUGUUUUUGUUUUUUUUGUUUGUUUGUUUGUUUGUUUUUUUAGUCAGUUUACAUCGUACUCGGUAUGAAUGUCGAGAUUUCUACACAAUACACAGUAUUGUAUUUGGGUUAUUUUUUUAAUGGUAGCUAUUAAAGUGCGUUUUAAAAGCAAAAUAAAAAUACUAAAACACUA